RNAcentral lists this ribosomal RNA (257 nucleotides) under uncultured bacterium. RNAcentral's name for it is "partial 16S ribosomal RNA". It matches the Rfam family "Bacterial small subunit ribosomal RNA", at positions 524 to 776 of the family's 1533-position model. The record is from RNAcentral.
GACGUAGGAGGCGAGCGUUGUCCGGAAUUACUGGGCGUAAAGAGCGCGUAGGCGGCCCUGUACGUGUGGGAUGAAAGCCCCCUGCUCAACGGGGGGAGGGUUCCACAAACGAGAGGGCUCAAUGGAGUGUGGAGGGGGAGUGCGGAACGGCCGGUGGAGCGGUGAAAUGCGUAGAGAUCGGCCAGAACACCAGUGGCGAAGGCGGCACUCUGGGCCACAACUGACGCUGAGGCGCGAAAGCGUGGGGAGCGAACGGA